Molecule: transfer RNA, 59 nt
Filed under: Halorubrum sp. E3
Lineage: Archaea; Methanobacteriati; Methanobacteriota; Halobacteria; Halobacteriales; Haloferacaceae
Description: tRNA-Thr
Rfam family: tRNA
About the family: Transfer RNA (tRNA) molecules are approximately 80 nucleotides in length. Their secondary structure includes four short double-helical elements and three loops (D, anti-codon, and T loops). Further hydrogen bonds mediate the characteristic L-shaped molecular structure. tRNAs have two regions of fundamental functional importance: the anti-codon, which is responsible for specific mRNA codon recognition, and the 3' end, to which the tRNAs corresponding amino acid is attached (by aminoacyl-tRNA synthetases). tRNAs cope with the degeneracy of the genetic code in two manners: having more than one tRNA (with a specific anti-codon) for a particular amino acid; and 'wobble' base-pairing, i.e. permitting non-standard base-pairing at the 3rd anti-codon position.
Source: RNAcentral
GUAGCUUAGCGGUAAAGCGCGUCCUUGGUAAGGACGAGACCCCGAGUUCAAAUCUCGGC